GUACACGCUGUGACUAGCAUAUCAAUAAGCGGAGGAAAAGAAACUAACAAGGAUUCCCCUAGUAACGGCGAGUGAAGCGGGAAGAGCUCAAAUUUGAAAUCUUAAAGGGUUUCCCUUUACGAAUUGUAGUUUAAAGAAGUGUUUUCUGUUGAGGUUUUGGUAAAAGUUCUUUGGAAUAGGACAUCAUAGAGGGUGAGAAUCCCGUAUUUGACCUUUACUUUCAACUUUGUGAUACACUUUCAAAGAGUCGGAUUGUUUGGGAAUGCAGUCCAAAAUGGGUGGUAAAUUUCAUCUAAAGCUAAAUAUUGGCGAGAGACCGAUAGCGAACAAGUACCGUGAGGGAAAGAUGAAAAGAACUUUGAAAAGAGAGUUAAACAGUACGUGAAAUUGUCAAAAGGGAAGCGUUUGACACCAGUGUUGUUUUUCUGAAAAUCAAUUAAAGAACUGUUUAUGCUAAGCUGUUUAGACUUUAUCAGCUAUACUGUUUAGUUUUGAGCUUUUCUUUAAUGCACUUUUCAGUUAACAAGUCAACAUCAAUUUCUUUUGCUGUAAAAAAGCUUGAGGAAGGUGGCUUGAGAUUCGUCUUAAGUGUUUAUAGCCUCUUGCCUAUGCAGUCGGAGAGAUUGAGGUCUGCAGCGUAGAUCCUUCGGGGCUAAAUGCAUUUGUGCUAAGUUAUAGCAUUUUAUAGACAACUUGUUGACUAUGAUUUGUCUUGUAGCUUACUCGCUUAUGUUAUUUUACCUACGCUUAGGAUGUUGAGUCGUAGAGCACGCAG
RNAcentral lists this ribosomal RNA (775 nucleotides) under uncultured Neocallimastigales. RNAcentral describes it as "partial large subunit ribosomal RNA". It matches the Rfam family "Eukaryotic large subunit ribosomal RNA", at positions 22 to 628 of the family's 3401-position model. The record is from RNAcentral. Lineage: Eukaryota; Fungi; Neocallimastigomycota; Neocallimastigomycetes; Neocallimastigales.